GCAGGCGUGCUGGAAUAGGCAGACAGGCAUGUUUGAGGGGCAUGUGUUUAUAUAGACGUGUGGGUUCAAGUCCCAUCGCCUGCACCA
Molecule: transfer RNA, 87 nt
Filed under: Clostridium niameyense
Lineage: Bacteria; Bacillati; Bacillota; Clostridia; Eubacteriales; Clostridiaceae
Description: tRNA-Leu
Rfam family: tRNA
About the family: Transfer RNA (tRNA) molecules are approximately 80 nucleotides in length.
Source: RNAcentral